Long non-coding RNA from Eptesicus fuscus (big brown bat), 635 nucleotides. RefSeq lists it as uncharacterized. The record is from RefSeq and is a predicted model, not a curated record. NCBI's taxonomy places the organism in Eukaryota, Metazoa, Chordata, Mammalia, Chiroptera, Vespertilionidae. The transcript is spliced from 2 exons.
UGGAAAUAGAGAAGGAAGCAGAGCCAUGACUCCCCUGCACACCUCAGACUUCCCUCUAGCUACCUGCACACAUGCUGUGUAGUUUCAGCAGUUAAAGUCCCUACAACCCCGUCGCCAGGUGCACCUGCGUCACUUCCCAGGGGUCACUGUUCUCCUUGUUAAGGGGGCCGCUUCUCCCUAGGCCUCUAGCGCCUAAGAAGUUUUCCAACCGUGAGCUCCUGCUGAUUGCUGCUUCAAAGCUCUUUGGGGCCUAGUGAGUGAAGCGUCUCCCAGUGUCUACCUGAGGCUUCCUGGAAGAGCUUUUCCUUUUCCUCCUCCAGCUGGUGACGGUGGAAAGGACUUCUGGCCCAGUGGGAGCCCCAGGCAUGUUCCCUGGAGCCCUUCCCUGUGGUUCUAUCCUGGCCUCUGAAAGUUGCUUCAUCUGCACGUGCUGACCAGCUCUCCCCUGAAGACACAGUGGUCCUCUGAGGAUGUCCGACAGGAGAGAACCAAUAUUUUACAUGUUUUUAUCCAAUUGUGAAGUUUCUUAAGGAGGGGAUGGGAAAUUCACUCACAGGUCGUGAUUAGCAGCGAUCAUUGUUUUCCUGCACAAGGUGGCGAUUUCCCUUUUAUUAAAGAGUAUAGUCAUUAUUUGA